UACGGGGGGGGCAAGCGUUGUUCGGAAUUACUGGGCGUAAAGGGUGCGUAGGCGGCUUUCUAAGUUGGAUGUGAAAACUAUGGGCUCAACCCAUAGCCUGCAUCCAAAACUGGAGAGCUUGGGUUCUGGAGGGGAAAGCGGAAUUCCUGGUGUAGCGGUGAAAUGCGCAGAUAUCGGGAGGAACACCUAUGGCGAAGGCAGCUCGCUGGGACGUUACUGACGCUGAGACGCGAAAGCGUGGGGAGCAAACAGG
This 253-nucleotide ribosomal RNA is filed under the name uncultured bacterium. RNAcentral's name for it is "partial 16S ribosomal RNA". It matches the Rfam family "Bacterial small subunit ribosomal RNA", at positions 524 to 776 of the family's 1533-position model. The record is from RNAcentral.